RNAcentral lists this ribosomal RNA (443 nucleotides) under uncultured bacterium. RNAcentral describes it as "partial 16S ribosomal RNA". It matches the Rfam family "Bacterial small subunit ribosomal RNA", at positions 338 to 795 of the family's 1533-position model. The record is from RNAcentral.
CCUACGGGAGGCAGCAGUGGGGAAUAUUGGGCAAUGGGCGCAAGCCUGACCCAGCAACGCCGCGUGAAGGAAGAAGGCUUUCGGGUUGUAAACUUCUUUUCUCAGGGACGAAGAAAGUGACGGUACCUGAGGAAUCAGCCACGGCUAACUACGUGCCAGCAGCCGCGGUAAUACGUAGGGGGCAAGCGUUCCCCGGAUUUAGUGGGUGUAAAGGGGGCGUAGGCGGGAGCGCAAGUCAGAUGUGAAAACUUAGGGCUCAACCCUGGGCCUGCAUUUGAAACUGUGUUUCUUGAGUGCUGGAGAGGCAAUCGGAAUUCCGGGUGUAGCGGUGAAAUGCGUAGAGAUCCAGAGGAACACUAGUGGCGAAGGCGGACUGCUGGACAGUAACUGACGCUGAGGCGCGAAAGCGUGGGGAGCAAACAGGAUUAGAUACCCCAGUAGUC